CAAUUGUCCAAUUUACAAUUACUUGUUAAAAAAAUUUAAUAAAAGUAUUAAAAAAAAAUAAUAAUAAUAAAUAUUGAAUACAUAAAACGAAUACCUUUCAUUAUUGCGGCAUCUUAUCUUAUAUAUAUAUAUAAUAUUUAUCUUACAUUACAAUCACAGAGCUCUAUCCAUCCCGAUCAGGUGUUUCACAUACUCGUGUAGUCGUGUACCUGUCCGCAAGUAUUACACCAUCCAUACAGAGAUCAUGACGAGCGUAUAUGUUAUACAUAUAACUCUUAACGCGUUCUCGCGACUUAAACUGCUCUCGCCACUAUACUUAGAUUACAUUACAUACUCAGUUGGUUUUACUGGUCUUACUGUUGUACAUACGUACUGCAUGAUCUACCAUACCAUCAUACCAACUCUUUGCCUCUGACGAGAGGGACAAGAGGGACGAGAGGGACCAGAGUUAAAGGCGUAUUUUGUAACACUUGAGACAGGUACAAGGAUUACGGAUUAAAACCCAUACCGUCCUUUUUUUUUACCAUCUUUAAAUAUUUAAAACGUCACGUGAUUCAGACUACAAAUGUGAUUGCAACCAACAAAACUUUCAAUAAUUCAAAACUGGUAUUUUGUUUAUUAUUAUACAUACACUCUUUUUGGUAAUCUAUUCAAAAAAAAAAAAAAAUAAAUAAAUAAAUAUAAAAAAAAAAAACUUUCUAUUUAAAUUUCUAGUCUACUUGACAUUUUGUCGUGGGAAUUUAAAAUUUUUAGCCGUCAAUGGUGUUAUGAUUUCUUUUAUUUAUUUAAUUGAUUGAUUUUGUUUUUUGUUAUUUUUAUUAAAUUUUUUCAUAUGGAUGUCUAUUGAAUUAAAUUGUAUACAACUGUCGUUAUUCUUGAUUCGAGAGACUGAUUCCCGAUGAAUCGAAUGCGUAUGGUGAAAGUGUGCGAACGCCCGGCAGCGAUGAAUUCUCGACCCCCUACAUUAAAUAUAUAUAUAUAUAAGUAUUGUAAAAGCGGUGUUGUAUAAAAGCGUGCGACAAUAAUGACGAUGGGAAAAAAGAAAAACGUAUGGAUGUAUAUAAAUUUACAAGGAUGAAUAAAAGUGAAAGAUAGCCAUAGGGCAGUUUGUAUUAUACGAGUAUAUAUGCGUUUGCAUCUUCUUGACACGGUUGAAAUUAAGAACAAAUUAUACGUACAAUGAUAAGAAAUACCUUGAGGCAUUGUUGCUUCAUAAAGAGAAAAUAUUUAUAUACCUUGGUAUUAAGUAAUACUUUUACAUGCAUGUUUAAUAUUUUGUCUAA
Molecule: long non-coding RNA, 1283 nt
Organism: Microplitis mediator
Lineage: Eukaryota; Metazoa; Arthropoda; Insecta; Hymenoptera; Braconidae
Exons: 2
Source: RefSeq, a predicted model, not a curated record